UGGGGAAUAUUGCACAAUGGAGGGAACUCUGAUGCAGCGACGCCGCGUGAACGAAGAAGGCUUUCGAGUCGUAAAGUUCUUUUAUAUGGGAAGAUAAUGACGGUACCAUAAGAAAAAGCCCCGGCUAACUACGUGCCAGCAGCCGCGGUAAUACGUAGGGGGCUAGCGUUUUCCGGAAUCACUGGGCGUAAAGGGUUCGCAGGCGGAAAUGCAAGUCAGGUGUAAAAGGCAGUAGCUUAACUACUGUAAGCAUUUGAAACUGCAUAUCUUGAGAAGAGUAGAGGUAAGUGGAAUUUUUAGUGUAGCGGUGAAAUGCGUAGAUAUUAAAAGGAAUACCGGUGGCGAAGGCGGCUUACUGGGCUCAUUCUGACGCUGAGGAACGAAAGCGUGGGUAGCAAACAGG
RNAcentral lists this ribosomal RNA (403 nucleotides) under bacterium. Its description in RNAcentral is "partial 16S ribosomal RNA". It matches the Rfam family "Bacterial small subunit ribosomal RNA", at positions 355 to 776 of the family's 1533-position model. The record is from RNAcentral.